UUUAAUUUUAAAAUAUUUUGAAUUCACUAUGCGUAUCAUGCGCGUCACAGAAGUCGUCUUUAUCGACGGUACGGUGAAAAGUGGAAACGGCGGCGCUGUAGCGUCGGCCAGUAGUGUCAAGAUGGCGACGCCCAGUGAACUGUCUCUCGAAGAAAUUCGUCAAUAUUUGUUGGAAAAUGGGGGUACUGCUCGUAAUCACGAUGUAGUGAAGCACUUCAAGAAGUUUUUGACAGAUCCAGAAACGCGAGUCGAGGCACGAAAUCAGUUCAAGGAAUAUGUAAACACCCUGGCUACUAUAAAGAACGAAGAGGGUGAGAAAUAUUUAGUUCUCAAGAAGAAGUAUCGUCAACUUCCUAUAGAUUUGGGGAUUUCGGAUCAAAUGACAUCACCCAUAAAUAGCCCUGAUAUAUCAACUCCGCUUUCUCCUUUACGAGUUCCGCCACCUUACCGACCACCACCUCCCGCACCUCUUAGUCCUCCGACCAAUAAUGCGAACCGCGAAGAAUCGUGUUCGAAUUUUGACCGUGAAGAGGCCGCUAUUAACGCGCGGAAAAAUGGCGUCGAAAGCGUCGAGACAGGAUUUUCAACAACCUCGCCUCCUGUACCACCACGUCGUAAAAGUCAAGAUAAAGUCAAGAUGGAAAAUAAGGAGAAUGUCGAUAGAAAUAGGGGAGGAUCGGAGGCAGUUAUCAAGGAAGAUGAGGCUGUCGCGACGAAUCCGGGCUCAACCGAGCAAUUAAGCUUCCGCGAGCGGAUGCAACGUUUCAACCGGAUGGCUAGCGAAACCGAUCUCCAAGGCAGGCCUAAUGGCACUAUCACACCUACUAAAAAGCGAUCUGACAAGGGCGCCGACGAGGAUGACAGCGCUUCCGUCGCCUCGCAACUGGACGGGAAGUCACGGGAGUGGUUGGUCAGAGCGGCGCAAGGGGAUUAUCAGGCUUUGGCGAAAUUGGCCGCCGAAGAACCUCGCCUCACCCGCCUCAAGGUACCGACGUCCUGUUACACGGCGUUGCACUGGGCGGCCAAGCACGGGGACGAGAAUAUCGUCAAGUUGAUCGCUGGCACCUACAAGGAUUACAUCAAGAGUGUCAAUGAAACUUCGAACGGGGGGUACACGCCGUUACAUAUCGCGAUGCAGUUCGAUCAUGAGAAUAUCUUCAACCUGUUGGUCCAAGUGUACGCUGCGAACCAGGAGAUACGGGACUACAGCGGGAAGAAGGCGAGACAAUACUUGGUCUCCCAGGAGGCCGCUGUCAGUCAGGACACCUUCCGCAGGAUUACUGCUGCCGCUACGCUCAGAGAAAGAUCUUGGUUUCCUGCGUAUUGGCUCGCUGAACGUACGCGUGAAACGCACGACGGAAGCGUUCAGCCAGUUCCUGGGUGUGGCAACUAGCAGCGCCAGCAGCAACCACGAGAAGAUACACAAGAGUUGGGGAUCGGCGGAUAAUGUGCAGUUGGAUCAAAAAAUGAUGCCGCCACCAAAGUACGCGCCUAUCAAGAAAAGAAGAAGUCGCCGUGCUCAGGAUUUCAGCUCGUCGCGGGAACACCAAGCUGCCAGUCAACCGACCACUCCGCUUCUUCAAGGGAAAGUUUCUCGAUCGAGUCAA
This 1607-nucleotide unclassified non-coding RNA is filed under the name Apis florea (little honeybee). RNAcentral describes it as "ankyrin repeat domain-containing protein SOWAHB, transcript variant X1". The record is from RNAcentral. Lineage: Eukaryota; Metazoa; Arthropoda; Insecta; Hymenoptera; Apidae.